UUGGUAGCCCUCAAGGCUGAAGUCUUCUAUGUAUUUGCAAAACAGCUACAGCACAGGCAAUAGCAGCACAAAUCUCAUCACAUUGCUUAGAAAACAGUGCUGCACAGAAGGAGCCCGAUUAGCCACCAAAAGGGCUUCAGCUUUUGGGCCAUUCAGCUUGAUCCAAAC
Molecule: small RNA, 168 nt
Filed under: Nothoprocta perdicaria
Lineage: Eukaryota; Metazoa; Chordata; Aves; Tinamiformes; Tinamidae
Description: TUC338 (ENSNPEG00000013466.1)
Source: RNAcentral